UACGUAGGGGGCAAGCGUUGUCCGGAUUUAUUGGGCGGAAAGAGCGUGUAGGCGGUUUGGUAGGUCCGCUGUGAAAACUCGAGGCUCAACUUCGAGACGCCGGUGGAAACCAUCAGACUAGAGUCCGGAAGAGGAGAGUGGAAUUCCUGGUGUAGCGGUGAAAUGCGCAGAUAUCAGGAAGAACACCCGUGGCUAAGGCGGCUCUCUAGUACGGUACUGACGCUGAGACGCGAAAGCGUGGGGAGCGAACAGG
Molecule: ribosomal RNA, 253 nt
Filed under: uncultured bacterium
Lineage: Bacteria
Description: partial 16S ribosomal RNA
Rfam family: Bacterial small subunit ribosomal RNA
Source: RNAcentral